UCACACUGUAAUGCUGACUUUGAGGCUACUACAUCAGGGUUUGUUGAUACUGGGAAUUGAACCCUGAUCUCCCAGGGGAAAGGGCAAGGUUUGGUGUGUUGGGCCAGGGAGCUGGCAUGAUGGUGGCUGUCAUGUGUGAGUUAAGAGCUGGUUGCCCCAUGGAUUGCACCACAUGGUCUGGUCUUUCCUGCCUACAAACCAGGUGUGACAUACCAAUAGUGAUUACUGUGAACAGAACAGAACAAAGAAGAACAGGAGAGAGAACAGAAGAAACUUCCGAGAAUCAAGCUUCUGUGGGAGAUGAAGGAGCAAUUCCUUGUAGAAGCUGAUCGCAGAAUGGUCACAGAGCUGGAUCGAAUGGCAACGAAGAUGGUUCAAAGAGCAUCUAUGUGUGACCUAAAGGACUGCUGCCAGAGGGCAAUCAAUGCCUGCCUGGAUGAUUCAGUAAGACGAGGACUCAUUAGGGAUGCAGCAAUUCUACUGCUGCCUUCCAUUUUCAGAGAGGACUCAUCCUUUCUAUACACUCUACUGGAGGAGCCAAGCGUGCCUACUCCAGCAAUCAUGC
Nerophis lumbriciformis (worm pipefish) is the source of this 565-nucleotide long non-coding RNA. RefSeq lists it as uncharacterized. Lineage: Eukaryota; Metazoa; Chordata; Actinopteri; Syngnathiformes; Syngnathidae. The record is from RefSeq and is a predicted model, not a curated record.